GGAAGAUGCUCUGAUUCUUGACCUUGUUGUGAAGCAGGGGAAUAAGAAAUGGUCAGAAAUAGCAAAACAUUUACCUGGCCGCAUAGGGAAGCAAUGCCGAGAAAGGUGGUACAACCAUUUGAACCCAGAGAUAAAAAGAACUGCUUGGACCAAAGAGGAAGAAUUGACUCUCAUCAAGGCCCAUAAAAUAUAUGGGAAUAAGUGGGCUGAGCUAGCGAAGUUUCUUCAUGGAAGGACUGAGAAUUCAAUAAAGAAUCACUGGAACUGCUCAAUGAAAAAGAAAUUAGAAUCAUGUCCGGCUUCUGAAUUUGACCUAUACAGUUAUAACACAACAGCAGAAAGCAGGACAUUUGACGUGGACAAUCAAAGCCUGAACUUAGUGCAUUCUUGUUCAUUGGAUUUGGGUCUUGGAAAUGCUACGACAAGAGAGCGUCAAUUGUCAACUUCAGAUAAACAAAAUUGUAAAUAUCCAGAAAUAGAAUCAACAUUUGGAACCAUGGAUGCUAGAGCUUUAACUGCAUUCUAUCUAACUGGUGUAAAGUGCAGAAAAAGUGACAAUAAUGCCAACACUAACUGGUCCAAUAAAUUAAUUAAUGCUUCUUCGGAUGAUGUUGCAAGGCUUCAAUCUCCUGAGCUAUCAAAAACUGUAAAUUCUUUGCAUUCUGGAGCACUUUCUGUACCUUUGACUCUUUCUUUGACUACUCCUAUCGGUGUUGCAGGUUAUGAUAAUAAAACAGGCGAAUUUGAUUUUAAAAGGAAAGUUGUUGGAGGCUUUAAAGAUGUGAAGGAACUUAAUUGUGGUGUCUUGAGUUAUGAAUCACUCCAACUUAAAGAUGGGAAUAUUCUUCUUCAAAAUGUAAGUUAUUCAAGUACUGAUAGCUGCAUUAGAACAGCAGGUAGUCCAGUUUCCUCAUGUGCUCUAGCAAACCAAAUUUCUCAUAAUUGGGGCAGUCCUGAAUCCAUAUUGAGGAGCGCUGCAAGUAGCUUCAAAAGCACACCAUCAAUAAUAAGAAAAAGAAGUUUUAAAACUUCAAGGCAAGCUGACAAUGCUACUCAUUGUGAUCAUGUUUGCAAACUAGAAGACAAUGUAGAGAACCUGUCACUGCAUUUAUGUACCUGUAACAAAGAUGGUGACAAUAAAAUGGAUCCAUCAAAUGAAAAGCAGCCUUUUCUUUCUCCUGCAAAGUCUCAGAAGCUUGAAAAAUGCUUGGAAGAUGCAUUUAAUGUAGAAUGUCAUUCAGACAGUGAAAGAUCUAGAGCAUUUGCUUCUCAUGAUUCUUGUGGUGACAACUAAAACAAAGUCGUCUUUUUUUUUAUUGUUAUCAAGAACUGAUGUUGCAUUUUGAACAGAAAGAUGGAGUUUCACUCGAUGUUACUUAAUGUAUAUGAUUGUAAAAGAUUUUGAGUCCUUGGGAAGGAUGACCGGCACGCAAACUACAACCUAUACCAUAGAUGAUAACAUAAAGCUAUAGAAUAAUAACCAAUUUAAUUUUCAUAUUUAUGGUUAAUGUGGGAAGACAAAUAAUGAUA
Molecule: unclassified non-coding RNA, 1530 nt
Filed under: Hevea brasiliensis (rubber tree)
Lineage: Eukaryota; Viridiplantae; Streptophyta; Magnoliopsida; Malpighiales; Euphorbiaceae
Source: RNAcentral